RNAcentral lists this ribosomal RNA (301 nucleotides) under uncultured bacterium. RNAcentral describes it as "partial 16S ribosomal RNA". It matches the Rfam family "Bacterial small subunit ribosomal RNA", at positions 509 to 809 of the family's 1533-position model. The record is from RNAcentral.
CAGUAGCCGCGGUAAUACGAAGGGUGCAAGCGUUAAUCGGAAUUACUGGGCGUAAAGCGUGCGUAGGCGGUUUGUUAAGUCUGUUGUGAAAUCCCCGGGCUCAACCUGGGAAUGGCAAUGGAUACUGGCAAGCUAGAGUGUGUCAGAGGAUGGUGGAAUUCCCGGUGUAGCGGUGAAAUGCGUGGAGAUCGGGAGGAACAUCAGUGGCGAAGGCGGCCAUCUGGGACAACACUGACGCUGAGGCACGAAAGCGUGGGGAGCAAACAGGAUUAGAUACCCCUGUAGUCCCUGUCUCUUAUAU